CAAAAUAUAGCUUAACCAAAGCAUCUUGCUUACACCAAGAAAAUAUCUGUGAAAACCAGAUUAUUUUGA
This 69-nucleotide transfer RNA is filed under the name Nyctimantis galeata. Its description in RNAcentral is "tRNA-Val". Lineage: Eukaryota; Metazoa; Chordata; Amphibia; Anura; Hylidae. The record is from RNAcentral.